Molecule: ribosomal RNA, 432 nt
Filed under: uncultured bacterium
Lineage: Bacteria
Description: partial 16S ribosomal RNA
Rfam family: Bacterial small subunit ribosomal RNA
Source: RNAcentral
ACGAACGCUGGCGGCCUGCCUCACCCAUGCCAGUCGCACGAGACCUUCGGGUCUAGUGGCGCACGGGUGCGUAACGCGUGGGAACCUGCCCUUAGGUUCGGAAUAACUCCCCGAAAGGGGUGCUAAUACCGGAUAAUGUCUUCGGACCAAAGAUUUAUCGCCUUUGGAUGGGCCCGCGUUGGAUUAGCUAGUUGGUAGGGUAAAAGCCUACCAAGGCGACGAUCCAUAGCUGGUCUGAGAGGAUGAUCAGCCACACUGGGACUGAGACACGGCCCAGACUCCUACGGGAGGCAGCAGUGGGGAAUAUUGGACAAUGGGCGAAAGCCUGAUCCAGCAAUGCCGCGUGAGUGAUGAAGGCCUUAGGGUUGUAAAGCUCUUUUACCCGGGAUGAUAAUGACAGUACCGGGAGAAUAAGCGCCGGCUAACUCCGUG